RNAcentral lists this ribosomal RNA (446 nucleotides) under uncultured bacterium. RNAcentral describes it as "partial 16S ribosomal RNA". It matches the Rfam family "Bacterial small subunit ribosomal RNA", at positions 338 to 795 of the family's 1533-position model. The record is from RNAcentral.
CCUACGGGAGGCAGCAGUCGAGAAUUAUUCACAAUGGGGGAAACCCUGAUGGUGCGACGCCGCGUGGGGGAAUGAAGGUCUUCGGAUUGUAAACCCCUGUCAUGUGGGAGCAAAUUAAAAAGAUAGUACCCCAAGAGGAAGAGACGGCUAACUCUGUGCCAGCAGCCGCGGUAAUACAGAGGUCUCAAGCGUUGUUCGGAAUCACUGGGCGUAAAGCGUGCGUAGGCUGUUUCGUAAGUCGUGUGUGAAAGGCGCGGGCUCAACCCGCGGACGGCACAUGAUACUGCGAGACUAGAGUAAUGGAGGGGGAACCGGAAUUCUCGGUGUAGCAGUGAAAUGCGUAGAUAUCGAGAGGAACACUCGUGGCGAAGGCGGGUUCCUGGACAGUAACUGACGCUGAGGCACGAAGGCCAGGGGAGCGAAAGGGAUUAGAUACCCCUGUAGUC